RNAcentral lists this ribosomal RNA (484 nucleotides) under uncultured bacterium. RNAcentral describes it as "partial 16S ribosomal RNA". It matches the Rfam family "Bacterial small subunit ribosomal RNA", at positions 30 to 507 of the family's 1533-position model. The record is from RNAcentral.
AUUGAACGCUGGCGGCAGGCCUAACACAUGCAAGUCGAGCGGAUGAAGGUAGCUUGCUCCUGGAUUCAGCGGCGGACGGGUGAGUAAUGCCUAGGAAUCUGCCUGGUAGUGGGGGAUAACGUCCGGAAACGGGCGCUAAUACCGCAUACGUCCUGAGGGAGAAAGUGGGGGAUCUUCGGACCUCACGCUAUCCGAUGAGCAUAGGACGGAUUAGAUAGUUGGUGGGGUAAAGGCCUACCAAGGCGACGAUCCGUAACUGGUCUGAGAGGAUGAUCAGUCACCCUGGAACUGAGACACGGUCCAGACUCCUACGGGAGGCAGCAGUGGGGAAUAUUGGACAAUGGGCGAAAGCCUGAUCCAGCCAUGCCGCGUGUGUGAAGAAGGUCUUCGGAUUGUAAAGCACUUUAAGUUGGGAGGAAGGGCAGUAAGUUAAUACCUUGCUGUUUUGACGUUACCAACAGAAUAAGCACCGGCUAACUUCGUG